This 230-nucleotide long non-coding RNA is filed under the name Hordeum vulgare. RNAcentral describes it as "long non-coding RNA (HVUL_LNC001960)". The record is from RNAcentral. Lineage: Eukaryota; Viridiplantae; Streptophyta; Magnoliopsida; Poales; Poaceae.
GCCGUCCUCGUCUCCUCCGCCGCCUCCAUCCUGCAGUGUUGCGGGUUCGUCGACGGCCCCGAGCUGGAGGUCAAGCUGCUGGCCGCCGCGGCCGGGCUGCAGCUGCUGGCCUCGUCAACUCCCCGCGCCGUCCACAUCCCCGCGCACGUCCCCGCGUGCCUCGCCGCCGCAUCGGAGCGCGCCACCUCUCCUCUGCUCCAGGCCAGCCGCCGCCUCGAUCUGGAUCGAAG